CCCAGACUCCUACGGGAGGCAGCAGUGGGGAAUAUUGCACAAUGGGCGAAAGCCUGAUGCAGCAACGCCGCGUGAAGGAAGAAGGCCUUCGGGUCGUAAACUUCUGUCCUUGGGGAAGAAGAACUGACGGUACCCAAGGAGGAAGCCCCGGCUAACUACGCGCCAGCAGCCGCGGUAAUACGUAGGGGGCGAGCGUUAUCCGGAUUCACUGGGUGUAAAGGGAGCGUAGACGGCCAUGCAAGCCAGGGGUGAAAGCCCGGGGCCCAACCCCGGGACUGCCCUUGGAACUGCAUGGCUGGAGUGCGGGAGGGGCAGGCGGAAUUCCUGGUGUAGCGGUGAAAUGCGUAGAUAUCAGGAGGAACACCGGCGGCGAAGGCGGCCUGCUGGACCGCGACUGACGUUGAGGCUCGAAAGCGUGGGGAGCGAACAGGAUUAGAUACCCCAGUAUAC
This 450-nucleotide ribosomal RNA is filed under the name uncultured bacterium. RNAcentral's name for it is "partial 16S ribosomal RNA". It matches the Rfam family "Bacterial small subunit ribosomal RNA", at positions 330 to 795 of the family's 1533-position model. The record is from RNAcentral.